UGCUGCUCAUCAGACCAGGAAAACAACACCAGCACUUCAACAAUGUGGCUUUUCAACCACGAUUGCUGAACAAUUCUCACUCUCCAGCUGGUAUCAUUUUGCCAGCAGCCCUCUUGGUCUGCAGAUAGAGCUCUGCUGGUGGGAAGGCACAGCUUCUGGCUUUGCCCACAUCAAGGAGGAGGUGGCACAACCACCAGAGAAGAAAGAACAGCUUUUCCAGAACCACGUUGCAGAUGGCAAUGGAGGCAGUGACACCGCUGUGUUCACAGGGCGAGAACAGCAGCAGCUUCUUCCUGUGCAGAGGCCCCAAACUGGAACUGAUCCCAACCCAAAGCCAUUGGUACUCUGCAAUAGCUGUCAGUAGCCUACACAAAGCCACUGGUUUCACCCCAUUUCUUGGUGGGAAUGUGCCCACACUCUGUGUAUCCUGUGUUAACUCAACAGCUGCUGUACCAGCAUGACCUAAGCCUGCUGUUUUUUAGGAUUCCACACAGCCCUUCCAAAAAAGCAUCACUGGGAAAGUCAAGCAAGAAAACAUGCGAAAUCAAAGCCAAAUAGGGAGACAAAUUCUCUACCCCAAUCCUCUGCUCCUUUCCAGAUCUAUUAUACCAUCUUCAUAGGACGAAAAGAAGAUUCAGAAGCUGCCUGGGACUCUGCUGGAAAGGGCUGGCUCUGGAGGCCUUUCCUCUCUCCAGCUGCAGCAUAUCCUAGGGAGAAAACUUUAAGCUUAACCUUCAGGGGCCAACUCCUGGUAUCUACCUCCCACUGAAGCUGUUUCGGUCAGAGCCGUUCUCUUUCCUUACCCGGUUUUGGCAGGAAAGUUCAAGGUGUCCUGGCAGCAGGAAGCUCCCUUGCUCCACCCUCUGCUCUGCACACCAGCUCUCUGAGCUUAUCAAGGAUUUGCUGCACCAGAGCUGCCAGAGACAGUGACCUGUUCCGUGUGGACACUCAAGUGGGAGCUGGACCCCCGGCAUGAAGCACUUCGAGCCCUGGGCAGCCUCCACAGUGCUUCUCUUCACCGCUGCGCUCUGGGAUUCCUGCUCAGCAGCAGCUGAAGCCAUCUCCAAUGUUUCAGGAAGCUCCACGCCCACAACUGAGUAUGAACCACCAUGUCUUAAUGUGAACUUCUGCACGCAGGCGGCCGUGUGCUGCCCGUCGGGCAUGGACGAUUACGGGUGGAUUGCAGCGGCCGUCGGCUGGAGCCUCUGGUUUCUGACUCUCAUCCUGCUCUGCAUGGACAAGAUCAUGAAACUCCGGCCUGACGAACCCAAAUACUUGGUGGCCUGAAGCAGGGACUGAAGCCAGCAGGCAGCAGCACCUGGGAGCAGUGAGGUGCAGACAGACAGACAAAGCAUUUCGAACACUUCCUAAGAAACUGAAAAAGAAAGGAAACAUUCAGUCAAAAAGACCAGAUUUAAGCAGGGCAGCUGCUGAACCUUCAUCCUCCCUGGCAGGUUGGAGCUGCCAGCCAAGGUGUGGACUAGGCAAGUCCUUGCAAGCCACCACAUAUGUCCCACAGUGCAAAAAAAAAAAAAUAUUUUCUCUGAGCUGCCUCAUGCUUGCUGUGAGAGCAGCAACAGCAAGGAGAGGUGAAGGACCAGUUACCAGUCUAUAGCCUGUUGUCUUAAGACAACCCAGUGCAUGAUCUUUGGUUUGAAACAGAAAGUGGGCAAAUAAAGAUAUUUUCUGGAGGAUCA
This is a long non-coding RNA of Lepidothrix coronata (blue-crowned manakin), 1697 nucleotides long. The record is from Ensembl. NCBI's taxonomy places the organism in Eukaryota, Metazoa, Chordata, Aves, Passeriformes, Pipridae.